RNAcentral lists this ribosomal RNA (509 nucleotides) under uncultured bacterium. Its description in RNAcentral is "partial 16S ribosomal RNA". It matches the Rfam family "Bacterial small subunit ribosomal RNA", at positions 28 to 523 of the family's 1533-position model. The record is from RNAcentral.
GACGAACGCUGGCGGUGUGCUUAACACGUGCAAGUGGCGCGACGAACCAGAGCUUGCUCUGGGGCAAAGCCGCGAACGGGUGAGUAACACGUGGGUAACCUGCCCCGAUGACUGGGACAACCCGGGGAAACCCGGGCUAAUACCGGAUGAUGCAUCCAGGCUCAAGCCUGGAUGCCAAAGGUAGCUUCGGGUUCCGCAAUGGGAGGGGCCCGCGGCCCAUUAGCCUGUUGGUGGGGUAAUGGCAUACCAAAGCAACGAUGGGUAGCUGGUCUGAGAGGACGAUCAGCCACACUGGGACUGAGACACGGCCCAGACUCCUACGGGAGGCAGCAGUGGGGAAUCUUGCGCAAUGCGCGAAAGCGUGACGCAGCAACACCGCGUGAGGGAAGACGGCCUUAGGGUUGUAAACCUCUUUCAGUUGGGACGAAGGUUCGACGGUGAAUAGCCGGCCGGACUGACGGUACCUUCAGAAGAAGCUCCGGCUAACUACGUGCCAGCCGCCGCCGUAA